GUUGCAGUUAAAAAGCUCGUAGUUGGAUUUCUGCGGGGGCGGGGCGGCCGGAUGCUUAUAGCAUCUCGAGCUAGCACUUCCCCCGCAUCCUGCCGCGAACCGUGCUACCAUUAGUUUGGUGGCGCUGGGGAUCGGCUCGUUUACUUUGAGAAAAAUAGAGUGUUCAAAGCAGGCCACACGCCUCGAAUAAGUUAGCAUGGAAUAAUGAUAAAGGACUUCGGUUCUAUUUUGUUGGUGUUCGGGACUGAAGUAAUGAUUGAUAGGGACAGUUGGGGCGGUCAGUAUUCCAAAGCGAGAGGUGAAAUUCUUAGACCUUCGGAAGACUAACAGCUGCGAAAGCGUUCCGCAAGGAUGUUCCCUUUGAUCAAGAACGAAAGUUGGGGGAUCGAAGACGAUCAGAUACCGUCGUAGUCUCAACUAUAAACUAUACCAGCUAGGGAUCGGCCGACGUUUACUUAUAUCGACUCGGUCGGCACCUUAUGAGAAAUCAAAGCAUCUGGGUUCCGGGGGGAG
Molecule: ribosomal RNA, 513 nt
Filed under: uncultured marine eukaryote
Lineage: Eukaryota
Description: bacterial SSU rRNA
Rfam family: Eukaryotic small subunit ribosomal RNA
Source: RNAcentral